RNAcentral lists this ribosomal RNA (393 nucleotides) under uncultured bacterium. RNAcentral's name for it is "partial 16S ribosomal RNA". It matches the Rfam family "Bacterial small subunit ribosomal RNA", at positions 523 to 918 of the family's 1533-position model. The record is from RNAcentral.
AUACGGAGGAUCCGAGCGUUAUCCGGAUUUAUUGGGUUUAAAGGGUGCGUAGGCGGUUUGCUAAGCGGGAGGUGAAAUGCCGGCGCUCAACGUCGGAAGUGCCUCCCGAACUGGUGGACUGGAAUGACUCUGCCGUGGGAGGAAUGUGUAGUGUAGCGGUGAAAUGCUUAGAGAUUACACAGAACACCGAUUGCGAAGGCAUCUCACGAAGGGUUGAUUGACGCUGAGGCACGAAAGCGUGGGGAUCAAACAGGAUUAGAUACCCUGGUAGUCCACGCAGUAAACGAUGAUGGCUAACCGCUGGUUUUUUCGGAUCAGUGGCCAAGCGAAAGCGAUAAGCCAUCCACCUGGGGAGUACGACCGCAAGGUUGAAACUCAAAUGAAUUGACGGGG